Molecule: long non-coding RNA, 1749 nt
Organism: Drosophila santomea
Lineage: Eukaryota; Metazoa; Arthropoda; Insecta; Diptera; Drosophilidae
Exons: 3
Source: RefSeq, a predicted model, not a curated record
UCUUCGUUUCUUUCUUGAUAAUCUCAAAAUAUUUAUUUAAUUAUAAAUCAUUUACGUUCGAUUUUCGACUUGCCUUAUUUUUGGAGGUCUCGCACGCAUGGCGAAGGUGAAACCGAAUUCCGAACCCGAAUCGGAAUCCGAUACGAUCCCACCCCAAGCCCCAGCUCAGCACUAAACUCGAGCCGCAAUCAAAAGCUUACAUUUCAUUAAAAGCACGCUUAAGCGCAUUUAAAUGUAAAAUUAUACAAUUUGUUUCACGAUAUGUAUGCAUAAAUGCAAAUAUUUUGAAAGUAUUUCGUAAAGCCACCUGACUAAAACUUAUUUUGAGAGGGAUUCUUCGCUCUCUCUGGCACGUAUUGAUUUCCAAAAUGGGUUUCAUGUGACAUUGCCAGUCAUAAUUUGAGCAAUUUGUUAUACAAUCUGCAGAUAUUCCUUAUCCGCCUGAACAUUGCGUGUCCCUUGCAGCCCAGUCUUGACCAUUCUAAUGCUCUCUGGGGGGGGGUUUGGUUUUGGCCCGUUUUGCUGUUUUCCUCUUGUCGUGCUUUGUUUUUGUCCACGAUUCUGUCUUUUGGCACUUGAAAAUGAUUUGUAGCGGCGGCGAAUGGUGCUGCCUGCACGAAAUGUUGCGUCUGCCGGGGGCCAAAGAGCCAAGUAGCAAUAAUGAAAAUGCCGGACAAAAAAAGCAGGCAGCGUGUGGGCGCUACGGUCACAUAUGUAUGUACAUAUCAGCGGUAUCUAGCCUGGCCGAAAACGGCGACCCACACGGGCAGAUCUCGUUAUAUUCAAGCACAAUUUCAUUUCGUCUUCGCUGCUGAUAACCAAGUAGCCGCGUUUUCGACGAGACAGAAACGUGGGCUGCGUUCUGUCCGUCCGUUUGUCCGCUUGUCAGUCAUUGUCUAUGGGAGCCCCAUCUGCGACAAAUGCGUGCGAAAAUAAAUUCCCCCAAUGAGUUGGAUAGUCGGCGCGGACACACCCUAAAUAAAAAAAAAAAUACUGACGGAAAAAAAAUGUGAAAAUAAUUUGAAAGUGUUUGAACUUUUAUAAGAUUGGUUUUGACAGUUUGUAAAUGAUGUGUAAAUAAAUUACACCAAUCACAUAUCUUGGAUGGAUAGUUUCCAUUAUUUAUAUCUUGAUGACCUCAGGACUGCUUUCUUAAAACAUAUUUUACUCUAUGUGCAAAUGCAUAUGCAGAUAGAUUUUUAGAAGACGGCCAGCUACGGGUUUCCAGUGCACCUCUCUCCCCAAAGCGUUUGGUCAUGGUCUUACUAUGGCUGCAUCUAUGGCAUGGAUAUGGCUUUCGUUCCCGACUCGAACCCAGAGUCAGACUCCAGCACCAACUUCAACUCAGACGCAGACUCAUAUACCGACAUACAUCGGCUGGUGGAAUUGACGGCUGCUGCACGCUCUUGUGUAACCUUUUAAUCCGUUUUGUAAGCAGAACGUAACGCACGUUCGCAUAAAAAGCAAACGCAACACAAAAGGAACAGCAAUUGCGGGACCGGCAGCGGAAACAAGCUGCACACAAUGGAUUCCAUACCCGGCUGAAGACCAAUACCCAUACCCAUACCAAUACCCAUUCCGAUGCACAUGACAAUCCACAUUGGAUAUGAUAAAGGUUUCCAUAAAUUAAUCUUUUGAAACUCCUUACUAAUAGAGGUCGAACUGAGACCCAAGAAAACCCAACUCUGUAGAACUUAGAACUAUCGACUCAACGUUUGACUUCAUACAUACAUCCCUUCAUUGUAUUUC